AGGCCCUUCGGGGUACUCGAGCGGCGAACGGGUGAGUAACACGUGAGCAACCUGCCCUAGGCUUUGGGAUAACCCUCGGAAACGGGGGCUAAUACCGAAUAUUCACUUGCGGACGCAUGUUUGUGGGUGGAAAGUUUUUCGGCUUGGGAUGGGCUCGCGGCCUAUCAGCUUGUUGGUGGGGUGAUGGCCUACCAAGGCGACGACGGGUAGCCGGCCUGAGAGGGCGACCGGCCACACUGGGACUGAGACACGGCCCAGACUCCUACGGGAGGCAGCAGUGGGGAAUAUUGCACAAUGGGCGGAAGCCUGAUGCAGCGACGCCGCGUGAGGGAUGACGGCCUUCGGGUUGUAAACCUCUUUCAGCAGGGACGAAGCGCAAGUGACGGUACCUGCAGAAGAAGCGCCGGCCAACUACGUGCCAGCAGCCGCGGUAAGACGUAGGGCGCGAGCGUUGUCCGGAUUUAUUGGGCGUAAAGAGCUCGUAGGCGGCUUGUCGCGUCGACUGUGAAAACCCGUGGCUCAACUGCGGGCCUGCAGUCGAUACGGGCAGGCUAGAGUUCGGUAGGGGAGACUGGAAUUCCUGGUGUAGCGGUGAAAUGCGCAGAUAUCAGGAGGAACACCGGUGGCGAAGGCGGGUCUCUGGGCCGAUACUGACGCUGAGGAGCGAAAG
This 670-nucleotide ribosomal RNA is filed under the name Verrucosispora sp. 281. RNAcentral's name for it is "bacterial SSU rRNA". It matches the Rfam family "Bacterial small subunit ribosomal RNA", at positions 72 to 759 of the family's 1533-position model. The record is from RNAcentral. Lineage: Bacteria; Bacillati; Actinomycetota; Actinomycetes; Micromonosporales; Micromonosporaceae.